This is a long non-coding RNA of Aphis gossypii (cotton aphid), 1767 nucleotides long. RefSeq lists it as uncharacterized. The transcript has 3 exons. Lineage: Eukaryota; Metazoa; Arthropoda; Insecta; Hemiptera; Aphididae. The record is from RefSeq and is a predicted model, not a curated record.
UUACGUUUUGUCGACCUGUAUUCAUUUCAAAUCACUGUCACUCGCAUCACUCUCCGUAGUUUUUUAAUAUUAACACUGACACUCUGGCACAUAUUAUAUUAUAUUUUUUAAACUGAACUGAUAAUAUACGGAUUACGGAUUGCAAAUUUAAUACGCGAGAGCGUUAACGUCAGAGUAUAUCGUGUUCAGAGCAACUGAAUAGAUACUAAAUAAUAAUAUGUUGUUAAAAUACGUCGUAAAAUAAUUUGGAAAUAGAUUCUAAAUGUAAUAAUCAUUUUCUUAUUUCGCUGUACGCGUUUUUCUCCGAUUCGGUUUAAUAAACAUUUACCAGUAAUAUAUUAGUUUUAAGUCAAAACAGUGAACACUGUUAAUCGGCAUUAAAAUCUGUGUUAAAAUAUUAUCUAUGUAUAAUCCAUGAUUUAAGAAAAAAAAAAUCGUGGUAUAAUCAAAUGCAUGUUAUCAACUUACAGUACACGACUUUUACAUUAUACUGGCGCCGUGCCUCCUUGGUUAACCGUGCUUGGAGAUAAGAGAUACCUUGAACCUGUUGGUUGUUUACUGUUUAGUGUUUACCGUUUUCAUUUGAAAUUCAACCUUUGAACAGGCUAUUCGUUGUUGUGCUAAGUUCACAGGUUAAUCGCGCAUAUUUAGAUAUGCGAGUUUCUUAUACAUCGUUCACAUACACGCUCGUCGAUCGCGACAACGACGCAAGAUUCUAUUUCCGCGCGUAGCUUCGCGAAAUUUAAUACUGUUGAAUGUUAUCGGACCGUUCAGUUGACACGCGCGUUUAGAUCCUCACACGCAAUAGUGGUGGCGCCUAAUCGGCACAGCUCAAGGGGUAUGCGACAUAGGGCGGAGUUUUUAAGAGGUACUUUAUUAGCAAGAGAUCAAAUCACGGAGUUGAAGAAAGUUCAUAAAGCUGGUGUUUUGGUAGCUCGAAAAACGAAAAAUAUUAUCAAAACAGAUAAACAGAUUUUACCAUCUAAUUGGUUCAAUUACUGAAGGAUCUCCACUUAAUUUAUUUCGUGAAUGUAUAGAAACAAAUGGUAUUCCAAAGACCUGGAGAAGUAUUUUAAUGCCAUUGAAAACAAAAGUUGAAGUAAAUCUCAAUGAAAGGGUGACUAGAAAAGGCACAAUCUAUAACAAGGAAAAAAAAGCUAGUCAUAAUAUUCCUGAAACAGAAGAGUUUUCCGAAGAAGAUUUACCUCGUGAUUUACUCAAUGGUCUCAAUGAUAGGUAUUUUCGUCGACAAUUGUUAAAACUAUCAAUACCGAAAACAAUAAAAUCAUUUUGAGGAUGUCAAACUCCUAGUCAACUUUUGAAGCAUAAGUUUCAUUAAAAGUUUGUUAAAGCUUGCUUAAUCAUUGGCAGUCUAGAAAAUUCAGAUGAACAAUGAAUUAAAACAACGGAAUUUCAAACGGUGCUUAUACUAUAAAAAAAUUGGACAAUUUUAAAGAUGCAUUAAAUUCAGUGAACUUGACUCCAAAAGUGUUGUGUCCAUAUAUAUAUUUUUGGUAACUUAUUUUUGUUUUUUUUUUUUAAUUAAAACUGAAACUUGUUAUAUUUGUAUUCCUAUUAGUUUCAUAUUUUAAAUUAAUUUUUUUUGUUUUGUUUAAAUAGUAUUAAACGCAUUGUUACGUAAAGGUAAUAUUUAAAGACUUGCUAAGUAUUUCAAAGUUUUUUUAUAUGAAUUUGAUUUAUUGUUUUUAAUUAAUCUACAUUUAUAUAAGAUAUUUGCAUAAUUAUCUUGACUCCGCAUUGCAUGUA